This 421-nucleotide ribosomal RNA is filed under the name uncultured bacterium. Its description in RNAcentral is "bacterial SSU rRNA". It matches the Rfam family "Bacterial small subunit ribosomal RNA", at positions 356 to 774 of the family's 1533-position model. The record is from RNAcentral.
AAGGAAUAUUGGUCAAUGGACGCAAGUCUGAACCAGCCAUGCCGCGUGGAGGAUUAAGGCCCUCUGGGUUGUAAACUCCUUUUAUCUGGGAAGAAAUGUACUUUUUCUUGAGUACUUGACGGUACCAGAGGAAUAAGCACCGGCUAACUCCGUGCCAGCAGCCGCGGUAAUACGGAGGGUGCAAGCGUUAUCCGGAUUCACUGGGUUUAAAGGGUGCGUAGGUGGGCAGGUAAGUCAGUGGUGAAAUCUCGGAGCUCAACUCCGAAAUGGCAUUGGAAACUACCCUGCUAGAGGGUCGGAGGGGGGACUGGAAUUCUCGGUGUAGCAGUGAAAUGCGUAGAUAUCGAGAGGAACACCAGUGGCGAAGGCGAGUCCCUGGACGACUCCUGACACUGAGGCACGAAAGCUAGGGGAGCAAACA